Daktulosphaira vitifoliae (grape phylloxera) is the source of this 942-nucleotide long non-coding RNA. RefSeq lists it as uncharacterized. The transcript is spliced from 7 exons. Lineage: Eukaryota; Metazoa; Arthropoda; Insecta; Hemiptera; Phylloxeridae. The record is from RefSeq and is a predicted model, not a curated record.
UGUUCGUUAUCACCGCGCCGUUUAUUCUGUCAUUGUUUCAAUAUAGUGUGUUGACUGUAUUCAUUAAUUAAUGUGAUUUUGUAAGUUUUUUAGUUCAACUGCGAUUGUAUAUAUUAAUUAAUCGAAACUCGCGAUUGAUGGCGUUUGUCGUGUGCCUGGAGGACUGUUUCGAUAAUGGUUCGACCCGUUGGCCUAGAGUGCUGGCUCGAUCAAUCAAUAGUGCUGUUAACGAUCUACAACGGAUUUAUCAAACGGACGGCGUGUGUUGCGUCCCGAGAUGGUAUGCUUCGAUAACGGCUCGGCCUGUUGGCCUAAAGUGCCGGGGCUCUGAUUGACAACGGAUUUAUUACACGGACUGUGCUACCGUUGUGGUGCCAAGAUAACAACUAAGCUAGAGAUUGAUAGCAGUCAUCGCUAUUGGAUUUAUUGCAUUGUCUGUGCAUCUGUUUUGCCCGGUUGACUGUGAUUGAUUAGCGGCCAACCAACCCGAAUAGUGCUGGCUCUAAUUCAUAAUGGUUGUAUUACACGGAUAGUGCACGGCCUUUGGUAAAUUUCACUUCCGUUGAUGUGUUGAUAGUUCUGUGCUAUUGGUCUUUUUUUUUUGCCUAUGCUUGCCCUCCCCUACUGUUCGCCGUUCCUUAAAAAUGCCUGUCAAACCUCGAUUUCAUAAGAUAUUGCCAUUCGACAAUGGAGGAUCAUCAAGAUUACUACAUGCAGUCUGCUCUCGGAGUUCAUCGAAAACAUUUAUUCUUUAUUUAAUUUACAACAUAAUUCUUUUACCAAUAUUAUUGUAUUGAUUUAGGUUUGAGUCUCUCAUUAAACCGUAUUUUUCUAACGAUAAUUAUAUCAAUUUGUAUUCCAAAUACUACAUUACUUCAAUAUGAACAAAAAUUUUUUAUGUGUGUGAUCGAGACAAUAAAAAAACAUUAAUUAUUAAAGAAA